UGGAAGUGAGCAAUGGCAUUAAAAAAUCUUCUUAAAUAACUUUUCUUCAAGAUCAAUCUCCUACAAAGACUAAAUCUGAAAGGAAGGAAAGUCAGCCAGGGCAUGUGGUAGUAUUAAGACUGGUCUAUUUGGCUCACAGCAACGUAGGAAUGAUCCUGUGUGUUGUAGUGAUGGUCCACCUGAACCUGCAGAUAGGAUGUCUGCUUGCAAACGCUGCCAGAGUGACUGCCGAACUGGACUGUUACUCUUAUCCAAAGUACCUUGCUAACACUGGACUUUAUGCCGCAAGAGAAGACCUUCUCACAGCUGCAUCUCAGCUGCUGUCAUUCCUCAGUAUAUGCUCACUUCUGUGUGCUCAUAGCAGCGUGAAGCAGUAAUGGCUCCUCAUGACUGUGCCCCAAGUGACUGUAUCCAGAGAGACUGUGGAACAUCUUCUUGCUUGUACAGAUAUAUGCAAAAGGUGGAAAGGAAGAAAUCGCGGUAGGUUUGGAUAGUGUGAUAUACGUUCCUAGAGGCAGUAUACAGCAGAAUGGGUAG
This 537-nucleotide long non-coding RNA is filed under the name Struthio camelus australis. RNAcentral describes it as "lncRNA (ENSSCUG00000011963.1)". The record is from RNAcentral. Lineage: Eukaryota; Metazoa; Chordata; Aves; Struthioniformes; Struthionidae.